CGGACGGGUGAGUAAUGUGUAGAGAAUCUGCCCUAGAGUGGGGGAGUAGCAGUUGGAAACGACUAUUAAUACCCCAUAUGCGCGUAGCUGAGAUGCUAUUCGUGAAAACUCCGGUGCUCUGGGAUGAGUCUGCAUCUGAUUAGCUAGUAGGCGGUGUAAUGGACCACCUAGGCUACGAUCAGUAGCUGGUUUGAGAGGAUGAUCAGCCACAAUGGGACUGAGACACGGCCCAUACUCCUACGGGAGGCAGCAGUAGGGAAUUUUUGCGCAAUGGGGGAAACCCUGAACCGCAGCAACGCCGCGUGAAUGAAGAAGCCCUUCGGGGUGUAAAGUUCUGUCAGUGGGGACGAAACUUGACGGUACCCACAGAGGAAGCAUCGGCUAACUCCGUGCCAGCCGCAGC
RNAcentral lists this ribosomal RNA (403 nucleotides) under uncultured bacterium. RNAcentral's name for it is "bacterial SSU rRNA". It matches the Rfam family "Bacterial small subunit ribosomal RNA", at positions 99 to 518 of the family's 1533-position model. The record is from RNAcentral.